Molecule: ribosomal RNA, 387 nt
Filed under: uncultured bacterium
Lineage: Bacteria
Description: bacterial SSU rRNA
Rfam family: Bacterial small subunit ribosomal RNA
Source: RNAcentral
GACAAACGCUGGCGGGGUGCGUGAGACAUGCAAGUCGGACGGGGUUCUAUCGGCGUUGCUCGGUAGAACCUAGUGGCGGACGGCUGAGUAACGCGUAGGUGACCUGCCCGGAAGUGGGGAAUAACUGCCCGAAAGGGUGGCUAAUACCGCAUGUGGUCGUCGAAUCAGUUCGCCGACUAAAGGAGUAAUCCGCUUCCGGAGGGGCCUGCGUCCGAUUAGCUAGUUGGUGAGGUAACGGCCCACCAAGGCGACGAUCGGUAGCUGGUCUGAGAGGAUGAUCAGCCAGACUGGGACUGAGAACGGCCCAGACUCCUACGGGAGGCAGCAGGUCGGGAAUUUUGCCCAAUGGACGAAAGUCUGAGGCAGCAACUCCGCGUGAGGGAUGAA